This 24-nucleotide non-coding RNA is filed under the name Cricetulus griseus (Chinese hamster). Lineage: Eukaryota; Metazoa; Chordata; Mammalia; Rodentia; Cricetidae. The record is from RNAcentral.
GACAGGAUCUUGAAGGCUAACUGC